UUACAUUUUUUUUUUUUUUGUUUUUUAAAUUUGCCGCCUUCUGUGACUCGCCUCGUCGUUUUUGUCGAAACGCCGCGGCUCGGUUUGAGCCUCGGGUUCACGACGCCACGCUAACGGUGGUUCGAAUUAACCAGCGAUGGGCUUUACCCCGAGCUAAAGCCAUAUAGGGUUUGCGUCGAAACGGAUCUUCGGAUCGUCGUGACCGAAAUUAUGAGUUUUGAUCUAGUACUUCUGUUUUAAACGACCGGAGAAGUGCGUGCGCUACUGGUCGGAGUCUCGCGAUUUUCGUAUUUUUCAUAACGGUCGUUCGGAGGACGUGUGCUAUAUUACACUAUUACAGUAUUCAUCGCGGCGCGUGUCGUAAUAACAAUAAUAAUAAUUCUGCCGCCGCCGCCGGCACCCGUCGCCGCCUCCGUAACCGCCGCCGCCGUCUCGGGAACAGCCGCGCGGCAGUCUCCGUCCGUUCGCCGCCGUCUUAUCAUCAUCGCCGUGCCCGCCUUUUCCGUAGUCGCCGCCGCCGCCUCUUCCGUCUCGUCGACGACAAGUGUGUGUGUGUAAUACGCGUUUUUUUGCGUGUUUGUCGCGUGCGAUUUUUUUUUUGGCGGUCCCGACAAACAAUAUUUUUCGCUGUCCGUCGUGUGCGAUAAUCCGUCGCCGAACGUAUCCGACUGUCGCCGGCCCGUCGGAAGAACCGGUGGUCAAAGAAGAAAGAAUUCUAGUUUUCCCGCGGCGAAAACUCACUUAUACUCGCUAAGGACACGCAUUGCCGUCGUCCAGGUCUGAUAUUCAACUGUCGAAAUUGCUCCUUACCAUAUGAUGGGAGUAACUGAAGCCCGUUCGUAGCAUCCAGCUAAAUCGUCACGCGUUUGCCAACGGCGUAAUACAAGUACAAAAAGGGUUAUAUGUUCAUGAGCCAGCUUCUCAGAUGUACCCGUUGUCGGAGGAAGAUAGCAUGACGUCCCCAGGUAUGUUUUGUAACAGAAAACAAGAAUAUAGUCUUAGGAAAUACAAUAUUUAGGAACUUGGUUUACAUACGCGUUCUUAUAGAUGUAUAAUAAUAAUACAUAUUUGUAUAUAAUAUUAUGUGCAGACAGUACAUGAUUGGACACGAUGUAAGGUCAACACAUUCGACUUCUUACGUCCAAUGACCUUAUCCGCAUCAUCACCAUCAUUGUUACGAAUAUGACACAGGCUCGUUUUGCCGUGUAAAAUAUCGUAUACGCGUAUUAUACGUUAUGUAGUCAAAUAUUAUGUUGUGCGUGUGACAAUUUUCUUUAUUUUCCGUUCGACGACUCAACAAUAUAUAAAAUAUAUAUCUAAUCCAACAUAUUAUUAUUUAGGAGUUAUACAUUUUGUGAUUAGUUAUUACUUAUUACGCACGUAUCUACCCGAUGUUUUAUUGCAGUUUUUACACGUUACAAUAAUUAAUGCAUAUAAUAACAAAUGACAUAUUAUAAUAAGCGCCGCAGAAUAAUUGUGUUAGUGUUAAUAUUUUUAACGCUUUAUAAAUAAUUUAACAUUGAUUAUUAUACUAUGAGAGACCGACUAUCGAUGUUUAUGUAUAUUGAUAUUUGAUUGCAUGUAGGUUAGUUUAAAAUCUCGAAAUAGCCCUAUUUAAAAUACAUAAUGAUGUACAUAUUUUAGCACGCAAGCUAGACUGCAUUUUGUUACAAACAUAAAAACAAUAUGGAUAGGUAUGAUAUUAUAAUAUUGUGUAUUUUAAUGUUUACGCGAAACGCCGUAUGAAAGAGAUUAAACACGCUUUAAGAUUUAUCGAAUCCCGGGAUGAUUCAUUACCCAACCUCCGUGUGUGCUUAUUACACGUUUACAAUCGUGUAUACUACGAAAUAUAGUAAUAAUAAUAUAUUAUUAUAUUUUAUAAUAUAACUAGUUACAAACGUUGUGUGUAGAUACACGUCAUGCCGGCUCGAUGUUUGAAUUUUUGUUUGUUCUUCGAGUUAAAAGUUUAUUAUUUUUCAAAUUUCAAACAAUUUCGGAUACAUACGCAUAACACAACACUAACACAAAUUUGUUUUUACUUUUUUUUUUUUUUAGAAAAUAACGUUUAACGAAAAAAAACGACCGUUAUGUUAUAAAUAUUAUCGCGAUAUAAUAUUAUAUUCGUCGUAGGUAGGUACAACAAACGAAUUCAACUUUUGAAUAUAUUUUUAUUUUUUUCUGAGCGGAGCGAUGAAUGUAUUUUAUUUUGAAGUAUGUGUGCACAUGUAUAUAUCUACUAUUCUGUAAUAAACAUUUUCGUACAGUACGAGUACCUAUAUAGAAAUAAUAAUAUAAAUAAAAAAUUAUUAUUAUUAUAUCCAUCAUACGAGGUUCUUUCCACUUUUUGCAGGGAACGCGUUGUUUUCAUCAAGUCAUAAUUACUUCAUAGCGUUUACUGUAGUGUACACCGACAUCGUUGCCAUAUUAAAAUGUGUACUUAUAUUACUAAUAUAUAUUAUGCCUAUACUGAAUAUUUUUUCCGUCGGAAUGCGGUCGAAUACAAUUUUUAAAGACAUCGCAUUUAAUAUAAUAUACACCGACGGGGUGCAGGGUUUCAUGCGUGUGUCCGUGAUACUGUGCGGGGACUAAAACGUGUUAUUAAUUUUAAAUCGAAAAAAAAAACGAUUACCGCAUCACGGGCAGGAUAAAAUUUUGUGACCCCAAAUAAUUUUCUCUUUCCCGCUCACAAAAAUCGAACGUUCGCCACCGUAGCCGAUCUGUUGCGCCUUUUGGAUUGCAACUAUGAUAUCGUAACAUUGUACAUCAGUCAACAAUGAUCACCCAUGAUGUAUUUCUGAAAUACACGUACUUCUUAUAUAUAAUAUAAUGUUGUAUUAUUUUUCGCUCUUUUAACAAACGGCGGCCGUCUAUAACGUAGUAACGUACGUGCUCGGUUCGGAGGAGCCCCGUUGAACCCGUCAUCGUAAGGUUAUGAGUUUAUAAUAUAUUACACGUAUAUAAUAUGAUGACGACCGAACUCUGUGGCACGGUCGGCAGAGGUGCAGGUGCGCACGAUGAAUCACACCGUAUAGAGUCGCCCAGUAUUGUAUAUAGGUAUACGAUCGCGGCCUGCACGCACACUCAUUUAGGUAUACACAGAGAGACGUAUUUCUCGGAACGGGUCGGGCGUGUUCAAUGGGGGACCUUAUAUACUAUGACGAUACGAUAAAUGUAUAAUGCGUACACACACACAUCACGACGCGUUGUUGUCCAUUGAUAUCGGCUUAGCGCCGUCCCUAUUUUUAUAUUAAAAAGGUCUUCGGCGCACAAGGAGACGAAAAUCGUCCUGAAAUCCGAAUUCACGUUCUAUAUAUAAUAAAAUAAUUUCUUCAGUAAAGUCCGCCACUUGCAUUCUGCCGAUAAUCGUUUUCCAUCCGACAAUGCACCGCCACGGGCAACGUUGUUGCAGAUCACUAUGUUAUUAUUGAUGAUAGAUUAUUAUUCUAUAGUAAAUACUAUUUAAGAAACACCUUUAGAUACAGGUGAGUGGGUAGAUGGUGGAUGGCGCAUCUGGUAUAAAUUAGGUAGUAACUUAUAACGAAAAAAUGAGUUCAACGUGACCGAUCGUUGUCGUCGAGAGGACUUUGAAUGUGGUGAAAUGACGACUCAUUUUGAUCACGACAUAAUAGCGGUAUUCUCGGUCGGACGAAUAUAGAAACAUAAUAUUAUACGAGUACAUAAUAUACGUUUUUAUGCACUCGAUGAUAAAAUAUUAUUUCGAAAUCCGUGGAACGGUGGUAACCACUCUAAACUAUAUUGUUCGGUCAAUCAUCGUGUUUUUUAACUACGCGUAAUCGCUAUGAGACAUGAGUUCGUUUCUCGUUGGAAAUUUGUAGUAAUAUUCGCGGAUACCGAAUUGUGCAAACAUAGAAUGGAACAAGUAAUAUUUUUGUAUACAAUACGAACUGCAACGCUGCAAUUAUUGUGCAUGCCGUCGAAACGUUCAUAUUUUGCGAACAAAUAUAAUAUUAUAUGACGUGAAUAAAUGUAUUCAAAUCGUUCCGGAUUAAAUAAUAAUACAGUAUUACAGUCGCUGCAGCAUAGAGGUCUGAUUAUUGUUUCGUAGAACGCGUCGUUCCUCUAUGCCGUUGGAUUUGAAAGGUAACGUAACAUAAUACAACGUGAAACGCGAUCGAAUCUGGUAAACAUAUAAUAUGAUGAGAGGAGUGCGCCACACGCUUCAUUAUCCGUAUUCGUCGUUUCCUGGAAAACAGUAACACAUACAUCCACCCCCGCACCGGCAAGUCGAUUUCGGUCCAAUUUCAGGCAUUUCGAACAUUACACAUUAUUAUCGGGACGUGCUGUACUCGUACGGUGUAUAGCGACUUGAACGGAGUGAUGUACACAAUAUUACACAUAGUAAAACAUUGAUAGGCCGUUUGUGGUGUGGUUAACAUUUUCGGUGAUAGGCCACCACCUCGACGUCCGUCCGUCCGGAUGAAUGGACGGAGACGUUUUUACGACCGUGUAAACACGAGACCGUUUUUCAUCCCGUCCGUUUGUCGCGCAGCAUCUGCCUGAGAGUUGGUUUAUAAUAUGAAGCAAUGUGUCGAAACGGAUAUCGUAUGAUGAAGUGAACGCGACGUAUACUAUAGAGAAGAUGACGAUAAUAAUAAUAAUUGUCAUUUAAAUAAUAAUAAUAUUAUGGUUCAUCUGACCAAGGGACGCGACGUGGCGCGUUGGCAGCGACUGCGACCGGUACAUGUGGCAACGUCGCGAGUUACAAGUUACCUGAAAAAAAAAACACCGCCGAUCCAUUGUGGACGCCAAACCGGUUUUCGUUCCGGACGACACCUGUACACCGCCUACAUUUCGUAUUUUACACACACACAUACUCCGUACGCACACUCUUGUCUGUCGUAUGUACACGCUCACACGCGCGACAACAAAACGUAAAUUAAUAUAUACGUAUAGUAUCCUUUUGCUUUCUCACGAUCCCAGGACAACACACAUAUACACGCGCACGACGGUGAAGAGUUGACUACAGUCCGUACGAAUGCAGUCUCGAUGAGAGUUCGGUACUCGGGGUUGUUAGCACGAAGUACAGUAUCGAAUGUGAUUUUUAUUGCUCGUGUCUUGGAUGGACCAAAAAAAAAAAUCAUAAUUAAAAUAUGACGUGUGAUCGCGAACAGACGGACGCGAUUAGAUAAAUUAUAAUACAUCGAGUUCAGCCAAACCGAUGUCGUUAAAAUUUCCUAGAUUCGUUGAAAAUUAUUUCCCAAACGGUUUUCCGUACAUUCGUACGGUCUUCUAUUGUACGUGUAGGUAUAUCCUAGAUGUAUAGUCUCCAGGACUGUACAGGAAGGGAAUAUAUUAGUAUUGUUGUUGUUGUUAUUAUUAUUAUAAUCAUUACAGUCGGUCGUGUGCAAGCCCGUCUCAUCGUUGGCGGUUGUCUCUAGCUAGGGCACUACAGGGAAAGAAUAAUAAGUAUAUGAUAUUAUUAUCAUCAUCCCGAAAGAAUAGUGGAUAAACUGGUUUGACGAACACCAUCGUCAGCGGGACUGUAGCUUGUUUAUCAUUGUUGCCCGACGCAUAUAUCGCCGGGCUCGCGUAUACAUACAGAGGGAUGUUAUCGAGAGGAAACAAUAUUAUUAUUGUUAUCAUUUUGGUUUUUUUUUUUUAGCAUUUCUAGGAUUGUAUAUCUUGUUUAAACCUCGUUACAGCCGGUCGGCAGAGUACUGCAGGUUUCGUCGUUGUUCUGCAUACGGCCGUACUCAGAUCUACGACUACACCUCCCCAUCACCCCGCGCUUAGUAUGUAUAUACUGUAUAUACAAUAGUAAUAAUACGAACGAAAGAAUAGAUGUACCGCAUACAGAAUGAAUGGCUAUUGUGUGUGUGUGUGUACAAAUCAUGUAAAUGUGCUAUUGCCAGCGAAGUUAGGUUAAUGUAUGAGGCGUGGUUGUAUUUAAACGUUGUACAUACAGAGUGAUUCAUGACUGCUAUUACGUUUAAGAUAAUAUAUGUGUAGUAUACUGGUAAUAAAAAAAUCUUUGUAAGAUAAAUACAAAAAUAUUUUCGACAAAUAUAUAGAUCCGUAGUUAUUAUAUAUAAUAUUAUGAGUUAUACAUUUUCAAGUAUUAAAAAAUAAUAAUAUCCAUGGAGUUAAUAUUUAUUUAACAGGUCAAAAGUUAAUACCAAUCAAAUGUACAUAAAAAAAAAGGUAAAUUGUUGGAACUUACAAUCGCUCCGUACGUUAAUUAUAAGAUUUCAAUUAAAAUGUAAUAAAGUAAAAUAAAUAAUAUAAUAUGUGGGUCAAUAAGUAGCAAAUCACGUAUAGUUUAUUAAUAAACUACAUAGUAUCGUUAAGUUUUCCUUUCUAUUGCGCACGACGUGCUACUUGUAUGUAUUUCAGUAAAACCAUUUAAUUCUGAUAAAAUAGCAUAAAAUGUAUGUUAUAUAAUAACUAUUAGAAUAUUAAUUUCGAUUUUAUUGUAAUCUACAGGAACAAUUCUAGUCUAUAAAUUCGUCUCAAAACGCGUUCGCUCAUGAGUGUUUGUACUUUUAUUAAUUAUUAUAUAGGUAUAGUCGCACCUGGUUACCUGUUGAUACUGCGGUAUUCU
Long non-coding RNA from Aphis gossypii (cotton aphid), 6562 nucleotides. RefSeq lists it as uncharacterized. The record is from RefSeq and is a predicted model, not a curated record. The transcript has 3 exons. Lineage: Eukaryota; Metazoa; Arthropoda; Insecta; Hemiptera; Aphididae.